UACGAAGGGGGCUAGCGUUGCUCGGAUUGACUGGGCGUAAAGGGCGCGUAGGCGGUUCGUACAGUCAGACGUGAAAUUCCUGGGCUCAACCUGGGGGCUGCGUUUGAUACGUGCGGGCUUGAGUGCGGAAGAGGGUCGUGGAAUUCCCAGUGUAGAGGUGAAAUUCGUAGAUAUUGGGAAGAACACCGAUGGCGAAGGCAGCCCCCUGGGCUGAGAUUGACGCUCAGGCACGAAAGCGUGGGGAGCAAACAGG
Molecule: ribosomal RNA, 253 nt
Filed under: uncultured bacterium
Lineage: Bacteria
Description: partial 16S ribosomal RNA
Rfam family: Bacterial small subunit ribosomal RNA
Source: RNAcentral